Molecule: ribosomal RNA, 253 nt
Filed under: uncultured bacterium
Lineage: Bacteria
Description: partial 16S ribosomal RNA
Rfam family: Bacterial small subunit ribosomal RNA
Source: RNAcentral
UACGUAGGGGGCGAGCGUUGCUCGGAAUUACUGGGCGUAAAGGGUUCGUAGGCGGUCGGGCCAGUCGGCGGUGAAAUCUCCCGGCUUAACUGGGAGGGGUCCGCCGAAACUACCUGACUAGAGGGCCGGAGAGGCGAGUGGAAUUACCGGUGUAGCGGUGAAAUGCGUAGAGAUCGGUAGGAACACCGGAGGCGAAGGCGGCUCGCUGGACGGCUCCUGACGCUGAGGAACGAAAGCUGGGGGAGCAAACAGG